AAUUCGAUAAUACACGAAAAACCUUACCGAGGCUUGUAAUCUUUUGCAAAGCUAUAGAAAUAUAGUGGAGGCUAUCAGAAUGACAGGUGGUGCAUGGCUGUCGUCAGCUCGUGUCUUGAGAUGUUUGGUUAAGUCCCGUAACGAGCGCAACCCUACUCUUUAGUUGACCAGUUCUAAAGUGACUGAAUCGUAAGAUAUAGGAAGGUUGGGGCCAAGUCAAGUCAUCAUGCCCCUUAUGCCUCGGGCUGCAAACGUGCUACAAUGGUAGGUACAAUGUGUUGCAAUCUAGCAAUAGUGAGCAAAUCACCCAAAACCUAUCUCAGUCCGGAUAAAAGGCUGCAAUUCGCCUAUUUGAAGUUGGAAUCACUAGUA
RNAcentral lists this ribosomal RNA (372 nucleotides) under Candidatus Mycoplasma haematoparvum. Its description in RNAcentral is "bacterial SSU rRNA". It matches the Rfam family "Bacterial small subunit ribosomal RNA", at positions 948 to 1340 of the family's 1533-position model. The record is from RNAcentral. Lineage: Bacteria; Bacillati; Mycoplasmatota; Mollicutes; Mycoplasmatales; Mycoplasmataceae.